GAUGAACGCUGGCGGCGUGCCUAAUACAUGCAAGUCGAGCGAACAGACGAGGAGCUUGCUCCUCUGACGUUAGCGGCGGACGGGUGAGUAACACGUGGAUAACCUACCUAUAAGACUGGGAUAACUUCGGGAAACCGGAGCUAAUACCGGAUAAUAUAUUGAACCGCAUGGUUCAAUAGUGAAAGACGGUUUUGCUGUCACUUAUAGAUGGAUCCGCGCCGCAUUAGCUAGUUGGUAAGGUAACGGCUUACCAAGGCAACGAUGCGUAGCCGACCUGAAAGGGUGAUCGCCCAGACUGGAACUGAGACACGGCCCCGACUCCUACGGGAGGAAGCAGUAGGGAAUCUUCCGCAAUGGGGGAAAGCCUGACGGAGCAACGCGGCGUGAGUGAUGAAGGUCUUCGGAUCGUAAAACUCUGUUAUUAGGGAAGAACAAAUGUGUAAGUAACUAUGCACGUCUUGACGGUACCUAAUCAGAAAGCCACGGCUAACUACGUG
Molecule: ribosomal RNA, 497 nt
Filed under: uncultured bacterium
Lineage: Bacteria
Description: partial 16S ribosomal RNA
Rfam family: Bacterial small subunit ribosomal RNA
Source: RNAcentral